GAUGAACGCUGGCGGCGUGCUUAACACAUGCAAGUCGAACGAUGAAGCCCAGCUUGCUGGGUGGAUUAGUGGCGAACGGGUGAGUAACACGUGAGUAACCUGCCCUUGACUCUAGGAUAAGCCCGGGAAACUGGGUCUAAUACUGGAUAGGAACGUCUACCGCAUGGUGGGUGUUGGAAAGAAUUUCGGUCAUGGAUGGACUCGCGGCCUAUCAGCUUGUUGGCGAGGUAAUGGCUCACCAAGGCGACGACGGGUAGCCGGCCUGAGAGGGUGACCGGCCACCCUGGGACUGCGACACGGCCCAGACUCCUACGGGAGGCAGCAGUGGGGAAUAUUGCACAAUGGGCGCAAGCCUGAUGCAGCGACGCCGCGUGAGGGAUGACGGCCUUCGGGUUGUAAACCUCUUUCAGUAGGGAAGAAGCGAAAGUGACGGUACCUGCAGAAGAAGCACCGGCUAACUACGUG
RNAcentral lists this ribosomal RNA (465 nucleotides) under uncultured bacterium. RNAcentral's name for it is "partial 16S ribosomal RNA". It matches the Rfam family "Bacterial small subunit ribosomal RNA", at positions 28 to 507 of the family's 1533-position model. The record is from RNAcentral.